CUUAGUUAAUUCUACUAGUAGUUAUAUACUUAUCUUAAAGAUUAAGCUAUAUAUAUCUAAGUAUAAGUAAUUAUACUAUAAAACUACGAAUAGCUUAUUAAAUUAGUUAUUAUUUAUUUAAUAAUACUUUACUACUUAGAUAACUAUAGUAAUUCUAGAGCUAAUAUAUACUAAAAAUCCUAACUUUAGAAGAGAUAUAUUUAUUAAAUAAAAAACUAAUACCCUUUAGGGCUCUUUAGUAAUUUAUAAUAACUUUAUAAAUUAUAUAGCUUUACGCUAGUAAUAGUUUAUUUAAAUUUCUACCCUAUUAACUUUUAAUAGUAAGGUAUUAGCUUACUAUAGUUUUAAUAAGUAAUAGGGAAUUAGGGUUUAAUUCUAAAGAGGGAGCUUAAGAAACAGCUACUAUAUCUAAAGAAGGUAGUAAGCGCGUAAAUUACCUAAUCCUAAUAUAAGGAGGUAGUAAUAAUAAAUACUAAUAUAAGGCUCUUUUAAGUCUUAUAAUUAGAAUAAGUAUAAUUUAAACCUCUUAAUAAAGAAUAAUUAGAGGGUAAGUCUAGUACUAGUAGCUAUAGUAAUUCUAGCUCUAAUAGUGUAUAUUAAAGUUAUUAUAGUUAAAAAGCUUAUAGUUAAAACUUAGGUCUAGCUAGUAAGUCUACCUUACUACGUAUACUUAUUUAGCUAGACCUUCCUUUUAGUAAACUUUAUACUUUUUACUAAGCGUACUAGGGAACUAAGACUUUUACUUUAAAAAAAUUAGAGUAUUUAAAGUAAGCCUUUACUUAAAUAUAUUAGUAUAGAAUAAUAAAAUAGGGCGUAUAUUUCUAUUUUAUUAGUUUCUAGAGACGAUAUAAUAAUUAAUAGGAAUAGUUAGAGGUAUUAGUAUUUAGUUAUUAAAGGUAAAAUUCUUAGAUUUACUAAAGACUAACUACUAUAAAAGUAUUUACUAAGGAUAUUUUUAUUAAUUAGUAAAUAAAAGUUAGGGGAUUAAAGAUAAUUAAAUACUAUUAUAGUCUUAACUAUAAACUAUACUAACUAAGGAUUAGGUAAUAUUCUUUUUCUAACUUACUUAGUACUUUAUAAGAAAUUAAAGUUUUUAAGUUCUAGGGGGAUUAUAGUUAUAAGGCUAAAACUUAAAGAAAUUAAUAGAAGGUUACUACUAGGUGUAGAGCCUAUAGCUUAAUUUAACUUAAUAUAGAGAAACUUACUAGGUCUAGAUAAAAUAAGGAUUAAUAAAUUAAGAGCUCUUUUUUAAUUUUUUAAGUAGUAGUAUAUAGCUAUUCUUAGUUUAUAAGGUAACUUAUCUACUUAAUUAUAAUAAUAAGUAAGACCUUACUUUACUAAAUAGCUAGGCUAGCUUUAGCUAGUUACUAGCUUCUUAGAGAGACUAUUAACUUAAGUUAAUAGAAGUUUAAAGUAAUAAUAGGUCUAUAAUACUCUUAGAUAUUCUAAGCUAUACGCGCGCUAUACUAAUAGAGCUAAUAAGUUCUUUUCUUUAUUUAAAAGAAUUAGGUAAUCUUAUUAAACUCUAUUGUACUAGGGAUAAAGUAUUAUAAUUAUUACUUUUUAAUAAGGAAUACCUAGUAAGCGCGUAUUAUUAGUAUAUAUUAAUUACGUCCCUAACCUUUAUAUAUACUACCUAUUACUACUACUAAUUAAAUAGCUUAGUAAGGCCUUUAGACUAGCUUAAGAAGGUUAGUAAUAACUACCUUAAGCUAGAAAGUUAGUUAAACUUAGUUAUUUAGAGGAAGUAAAAAUUAUAAUAAAGUCUCUAUAAGUAAACCUAUAGAGG
RNAcentral lists this ribosomal RNA (1789 nucleotides) under Alternaria solani. RNAcentral's name for it is "SSU rRNA". It matches the Rfam family "Eukaryotic small subunit ribosomal RNA". The record is from RNAcentral. Lineage: Eukaryota; Fungi; Ascomycota; Dothideomycetes; Pleosporales; Pleosporaceae.